RNAcentral lists this ribosomal RNA (415 nucleotides) under uncultured bacterium. Its description in RNAcentral is "bacterial SSU rRNA". It matches the Rfam family "Bacterial small subunit ribosomal RNA", at positions 355 to 787 of the family's 1533-position model. The record is from RNAcentral.
UGAGGAAUAUUGCGCAAUGGGGGAGCCCUGACGCAGCAAUGCCGCGUGAAGGACGAAGGUUUUCGGAUUGUAAACUUCUUUUCUUGAGGACGAUAAUGACGGUACUCAAGGAAUAAGGCCACGGCUAACUACGUGCCAGCAGCCGCGGUAAUACGUAGGUGGCAAGCGUUGUCCGGAUUUACUGGGUGUAAAGGGCGAGUAGGCGGGUUUGCAAGUCAGAUGUGAAAUGCAGGGGCUUAACCCCUGAGCUGCAUUUGAAACUGUAGAUCUUGAGUGAUGGAGAGGCAGGCGGAAUUCCCGGUGUAGCGGUGGAAUGCGUAGAUAUCGGGAGGAACACCAGUGGCGAAGGCGGCCUGCUGGACAUUAACUGACGCUGAGGAGCGAAAGCGUGGGGAGCAAACAGGAUUAGAUAGCC